Macaca fascicularis (crab-eating macaque) is the source of this 4932-nucleotide long non-coding RNA. Lineage: Eukaryota; Metazoa; Chordata; Mammalia; Primates; Cercopithecidae. The record is from Ensembl.
CUGAGUAAGAAAUAUUUAUUUAUGUAUUACUCACCUACUUGACAGAGAAGAAAGAACAAGAAAACUUGAAAGCCAACCUAUGUGGUCAUCAGGGAAAUGCAAAUCAAAACCACAAUGAGACAGCUCAUCAUACACACUAGGAUGGCUCUAAUGACAAAGACAGACAAUGACAAGUGUUGGCUCGGAUGUGCAGAAACUGGAGUACUCUUACAUUGUUUGUGGGAUGGUGCAAUGGUGCAGGUGCUUUGAAAAGCAGCCUGGCGGAUCCUUCAAUGGUUAAACAUAGAGUUAUCAUAUGACCCAGCCAUUCCCCUCCCGGGUAUUUACCCAAAAAAUUGAAGACAAGUACUCAGACAAGUACGUACAUAGAAGUCCUAACUGUAUGCUAAGUGCUAAGCAUUAUUCAUGGUAGUCACACAGUGGAAAGAACCCAAUGCCCAUCAACAGGUGUGUGGGUAAACAAAAUGUGGUCUACCCAUAUAAUGGAAUGUCAUUCGGCCAUCAAAAAGAAUGAAAUUCUGAUGCAUGGUACAGAAUCAAUGGACCUCAAAAAUAUUAUGCUGAGUGAAAGAAGCCAGGCACAAAACCACAUGGGAUGCCAUUUGUUUGAAAUGCCCCUGAUAGGCAAAUCCAUGGAUACGAAGUAGAUUUGUGAGUGGCUGCAUAGGGCUAGAGCAGAUGGCAGGAUGGUGGUGAUGAACCAGGGAAUGUUGCAACUAUCCUUAUGAACCAGGAAGUGCUACAGUUACCUGGAUGAACAAGGAAGUGUGGCAAUGUCCCUAUGAACCAGGAAGUGCUAUAAUUAUUCGUAUGAACCAGAGAGUUGCAAAUGUCUUUAUGAACCAGGAAGUUCUACAGUUAUCCAUAUGAACCAGAAUGUGCUGCAGUGUCACUAUGACCCAGGAAGUGUCACAAUGUCCCUGCAAACCAGGAAGUACAAUUAUCUGUAUGAACCAGGAAAUGCCACAACUAUCUGUAUUAACCUCGAAAUGUUACAGCGUCUCCAUAAACCAGGAAGUGCUGCAAUUAGACAUAUGAACCAGAAAGUGUUACAAUGCCCCUACAAACCAGGAAGUUCUACAAUUAUCCGAAUGAACCAGGAAGUGUUGCAAUGUCCCUGUGAACCAGGAAGUGCUACUAUUAUCCAUAUGAACCAGGAAGUGCUACAAUUAUCCAUAUAAACCAGAAAGUGUUGCAAUAUCCUUAUGAACCAGGAAGUGCUAGAACUAUCUGGAUGAACCAGGAAGUGUGGCAAUGUCCCUAUGAACCAGUAAGUGAUACAAUUAUCCAUAUGAAUCAGGAAGUGUGGCAAUGUCCCUAUGAACCAGGAAGUGCUACAAUUAUUCCUAUGGACCAGAGGGUUGCAAAUGUCUUUAUAAACCAGGAAGUUCUACAAUUAUCCAUAUGAACCAGAAAGUGUUACAGUGUCACUAUGACCCAGGAAGCAUCACAAUGUCCCUGCAAACUAUGAAGUACUACAAUUAUCCGUAUGAACCAUGAAGUGUUACAAUGUUCCUAUGAACCAGGAAGUGCUACAACUAUCCGGAUGAACCAGGAAGUGUGGCAACUAUCCAGAUGAACCAGGAAGUGUGGCAAUGUCACUAUGAACCAGUAAGUGAUACAAUUAUCCAUAUGAAUCAGGAAGUGUGGCGAUGUCACUAUGAACCAGAAAGUGAUACAAUUAUCCAUAUGAAUCAGGAAGUAUGGCAAUGUCAUUAUGAACCAGAAAAUGUCACACUUUCCCUAUGAACCAGGAAGUGCUACAAUUAUCCGGAUGAACCAGGAAGUGUGGCAAUGUCCCUAUGAACCAGGAAGUGCUACAGUUAUUCCUAUGAACCAGAGGGUUGCAAAUGUCUUUAUGAAGCAGGAAGUUCUACAAUUAUCCAUAUGAACCAGAAAGUGUUGUAGUGUCACUAUGACCCAGGAAGCAUCACAAUGUCCCUGCAAACCAGGAAGUACUACAAUUAUCCGUAUGAACCAGCAAGUGUGGCAAUGUCCCUAUGAACCAGGAAGUGCUACAAUUAUUCCUAUGAACCAGAGGGUUGCAAAUGUCUUUAUGAACCAGGAAGUUCUAUAAUUAUCCAUAUGAACCAGAAAGUGUUGUAGUGUCACUAUGAACCAGGAAGCGUCACAAUGUCCCUGCAAACCAGGAAGUACUACAAUUAUCUGUAUGAACCAGGAAGUGUUACAAUGUCCCUAUGAACCAGGAAGUGCUACAAAUAUCCGGAUGAACCAGGAAGUGUUAUAAUGUCCCUAUGAACCAAGAAGUGCUAAAAUUAUCCAUAUGAACCUUGAAAUGUUACAAUGUCCCUAUGAACCAGGAAGUGUCACACUUUCCCUAUGAACCAGGAAGUGCUACAAUUAUCCACAUGAAUCAGGAAGUGCAGCAAUGUCACUAUGAACCAGAAAGUGUCACACUUGCCCUAUGAACCAGGAAGUGCUACAAUUAUCCAGAUGAACCAGGAAGUGUAGCAAUGUCCCUGUGAACCAGGAAGUGCUACAACUAUCCGGAUGUACCAGGAAGUGUGGCAGUGUUCCUAUGAACCAGUAAGUGAUACAAUUAUCAACAUGAAUCAGGAAGUGUGGCAAUGUCACUAUGAACCAGAAAGUGUCACGCUUUCCCUAUGAACCAGGAAGUGCUACAAUUAUCCAGAUGAACCAGGAAGUGUAGCAAUAUUCCUGUGAACCAGGAAGUGCUAAUUAUUCCUAUGAACCAGAGGGUUGCAAAUGUCUUUAUGAACCAGGAAGUGCUACAAUUAUCUGUAUGAACCAGGAAAUGUUACAGUGUCCCUAUAAACCAGGAAGUGCUACAUUUACCCAUAUGAACCAGAAAGUGUGACAAUGUCCCUGCAAACCAGGAAGUUCUACAAUUAUUCAAAGGAACCAGAAAGUGCUAUUAUCCAUAUGAACCAGGAAGUGCUACAGUUAUCCAUAUGAACCAGGAAGUGUGGCAGUGUCACUAUGAACCAGAAAGUAUCACAAUGUCCCUAUGAACCAGGAAGUGCUACAAUUAUCCAGAUGAACCAGGAAAUGUGGCUAUCUCCCUAUGAACCAGGAAGUGAUACAAUUAUCCAUAUGAAUCAGGAGGUGUGGCAAUGUCACUAUGAACCAGAAAGUGUCACAAUUUCCCUAUGAACCAGGAAGUGCUACAAUUAUCUGUAUGAACCAGGAAGUGUUAUAAUGUCCCUAUGAACCAGGAAGUGCCACAGCUAUCUGUAUUAACCUGGAAAUUUUACAGGGUCUCCAUAAACCAGGAAGUGCUGCAAUUAGACAUAUGAACCAGAAACUGUUACAAUGUCCCUACUAACCAGGAAGGUCUAUGAUUAUCCAAAUGAACCAGAAAGUGUUGCAAUGUCCCUGUGAACCAGAAAGUGCUACUAUUAUCCAUAUGAACCAAGAAGUGUGGCAGUGUCGCUAUGAUCCAGAAAGUAUCACAAUGUCCCUAUGAACAAGGAAGUAUGCUACAAUUAUCCAGAUGAACCAGGAAGUGUGGCAAUGUCCCUAUGAACCAGGAAGCAAUACAAUCAUCCAUAUGAAUCAUGAAGUGUGUCAAUGUCACUAUGAAGCAGGAAGUUUCACUAUUUCCCUAUGAACCAGGAAGUCCUACAAUUACUCAGAUGAACCAGGAAGUGUGGCAAUGUCCCUAUGAACCAGGAGGUGAUACAAUUAUCCAUAUGAAUCAGGAAGAGUGGCAAUGCCACUAUGAAGCCGAAAGUGUCACAAUUUCCCUAUGAUCCAGGAAGUGCUACAAUUAUCCAGAUGAACCAGGAAGUGUGGCAAUGUCCCUACGAACCAGGAAAUGCUACAAUUAUUCCUAUGAACCAGAGGGCUGCAAAUGUCUUCAUGAACCAGGAAGUUCUACAAUUAUCCAUAUGAACCAGAAAGUGUUGCAGUGUCACCAUGACCCAGAAAGUGUUACAGUGUCCCUACAAACUAAGAAGUGCUACAAUUAUCCCUAUGAACCAGGAAGUAUUGCAGUGUCCCUGCAAACCAGGAAGUGCUACAAUUAUCUGUAUGAACCAGGACGUGUUACAAUGUCCCUAUGAACCAGGAAGUGCUACAACUAUCCGUACAAACCUUGAAAUGUUACAACGUCCCUGCAAACCAGGAAGUUCUACAAUUAUCCGAAUUAACCAGUAAGUAUUGCAAUGUCCCUGUGAAUCAAAAGUAUUGCAAUGUCCCUGUGACCCAGGAAGUGCUACUAUUAUCUAUAUGAACCAAGAAGUACUACAAUUAUCUGUAUGAAGUACUACAAUGUCCCUAUGAAACAGGAAGUGCUACAAUUAUCCCUAUGAACCAGGAAGUGUUGCAAGAUCCCUGUGAAUCAGGAAGUGUGACAAUUAUCUGUAUGAACCAAAAAGUGUUGCAAUAUCCCUGUGAACUAGGAAGUGCUACAUUUAUCCCUAUGAACCAGGAAGUGUCACAAUGUCCCCGUGAACCAGGAAGUGCUACUAUUACCCAUUUGAACCAGGAAAUGCAACAAUGUGAGCCAGAAAGUGUUGCAGUGUCCCUACGAAUCACAAAGCAUUACAAUCUCCAGAUAAACCAGGAAGUGUUACAGUGUCCCUAUAAAUUAGAAAGUGCUGCAACCUUUCAAUGACCCAGGAAGUUCAUUUACCAUCUCUAGAAAGCAGGAAGUGCUAGGCCGGGCGCGGUGGCUCACGCCUGUAAUCCCAGCACUUUGGGAGGCCAAGGGGGCGGAUCACAAGGUCAGGAGAUCGAGACCACGGUGAAACCCGUCUCUACUAAAAAUACAAAAAAUUAGCCGAGCAGUUGGGGCGCCUGUAGUCCCAGCUACUCGGGAGGCUGAGGCAGGAGAAUGGCGUGAACCCGGGAGGCAGAGCUUGCAGUGAGCCAAGAUCGCCACUGCACUCCAGCCUGGGCUGGGCGACAGAGAGAGACUCCGUCUCAAAAAAAAAAAAAAAAAAAAAA